UGAUGAUGAUGAUGAGGAUUCUGGUGGUGGUGGUGGUGGUGGUGAUAAUGCAAUCAUUACCACCUUCUUCACCAUCGUCAUCAUCAUCAUCAUCA
RNAcentral lists this microRNA precursor (95 nucleotides) under Bigelowiella natans CCMP2755. Its description in RNAcentral is "miRNA EPrBNAG00000013541". Lineage: Eukaryota; Cercozoa; Chlorarachniophyceae. The record is from RNAcentral.